This 27-nucleotide ribosomal RNA is filed under the name Keratoisis sp. K15647B. RNAcentral describes it as "partial 28S ribosomal RNA". Lineage: Eukaryota; Metazoa; Cnidaria; Anthozoa; Scleralcyonacea; Keratoisididae. The record is from RNAcentral.
UUGACCUCUGAUCAGGCAAGAUUACCC